RNAcentral lists this ribosomal RNA (493 nucleotides) under uncultured bacterium. RNAcentral describes it as "partial 16S ribosomal RNA". It matches the Rfam family "Bacterial small subunit ribosomal RNA", at positions 29 to 507 of the family's 1533-position model. The record is from RNAcentral.
AGUGAACGCUGGCGGCAGGCCUAACACAUGCAAGUCGAACGGCAGCACAGUAAGAGCUUGCUCUUACGGGUGGCGAGUGGCGGACGGGUGAGGAAUACAUCGGAAUCUACUUUUUCGUGGGGGAUAACGUAGGGGAAGCUUACGCUAAUACCGCUAACGACCUACGGGUGAAACAAGGGUAUCUUCGGCCUUUGCGCGAUUGAAUAGGCGGAUGUCGGAUUAGCUAGUUGGCGGGGUAAAGGCCCACCAAGGCGACAACCCGUAGCUGGUCUGAGAGGAUGAUCAGCCACACUGGAACUGAGACACGGUCCAGACUCCUACGGGAGGCAGCAGUGGGGAAUAUUGGACAAUGGGCGAAAGCCUGAUCCAGCCAUACCGCGUGAGUGAAGAAGGCCUUCGGGUUGUAAAGCCCUUUUGUUGGGAAAGAAAAGCAGCAGGUUAAUACCCCGCUGUUCUGACGGUACCCAAAGAAUAAGCACCGGCUAACUUCGUG